GGGCCCGUAGCUCAGCUUGGUAGAGCGGCGGGCUCUUAACCCGUAGGUCCCGGGUUCAAAUCCCGGCGGGCCCGCCA
RNAcentral lists this transfer RNA (77 nucleotides) under Thermoproteota archaeon. RNAcentral describes it as "tRNA-Lys". It matches the Rfam family "tRNA". Rfam says of the family: Transfer RNA (tRNA) molecules are approximately 80 nucleotides in length. The record is from RNAcentral. RNAcentral also lists the same sequence under 1 other name. Lineage: Archaea; Thermoproteati; Thermoproteota.